This is a long non-coding RNA of Saccostrea echinata, 625 nucleotides long. RefSeq lists it as uncharacterized. The record is from RefSeq and is a predicted model, not a curated record. The transcript has 2 exons. NCBI's taxonomy places the organism in Eukaryota, Metazoa, Mollusca, Bivalvia, Ostreida, Ostreidae.
UAUGUAUGCUGUUUUGGAUCUCGUAACCAGCCUCUAUAACCAGGCAGAGCGCAUGCGUGAAAUAAAUUUCCAUCGAGAUCGGAAAACAGCAGAGAGGAAAUUCGGAAUAUAUAAUGGAAACUAGUAAUGCGGAAUGAUACUAUAGUCAGAUGCAGAAAUUUUUGCAUAAUUCGAUCAACUUUUAUUUAAAAAAGCAGAAGAAUAAAUGAAUCAACUUUACAUGUAAGCCUGUCAAGGAGGAAGCAAAGGAUAUAGAAACUUAUAACAAUGGACAAAGAUUUAUAAUUGUGUGGAACUAUCUUUACAUUGUAAAUGCCAAUGUAUCCUGAUUCCUCUAUUGCAUAAAUCGAGAGAAAUCUAAAAAUUCCAUUAUGUUGUUUACUUGUUCCAGAGAAAAUGUGAAGAUAUACAUAUCUACAUAAUUAAUCAAUAAAGUGUGAAAUUUUAAAAAUUAUCAUAAAAGAAGAGCAACCAACACAAAGUUCAAAUUUCUUCUAUGUUCAUGACAGUAGAACAGUAGGAUAAUAGUGCCAAAAUUUGUGUUCUACAAACCCUAGCUGUCAUGUUGUCAAGAAGGAGACCCAGUGUAUUUUCACUGCAUGGAAAUGAUAUGGAAUGUCUUUAA